RNAcentral lists this ribosomal RNA (218 nucleotides) under uncultured bacterium. RNAcentral describes it as "partial 16S ribosomal RNA". It matches the Rfam family "Bacterial small subunit ribosomal RNA", at positions 335 to 548 of the family's 1533-position model. The record is from RNAcentral.
ACUCCUACGGGAGGCAGCAGUGAGGAAUAUUGGACAAUGGGCGGGAGCCUGAUCCAGCCAUGCCGCGUGCAGGAAGACUGCCUAUGGGUUGUAAACUGCUUUUGUACAGGAAGAAACACUCCCUCGUGAGGGAGCUUGGACUGGUACUGUAAGAAAUAAGGAUCGGCUAACUCCGUGCCAGCAGCCGCGGUAAUACGGAGGAUCCAAGCGUUAUCCGG